AUGGGAAGCAAGAGCAGCCGCCGAUGUGUGAAAGCAACGAGACAUGGCCAGCCAGAGGCGCCGGGGUCCCUUCACGGGGUUUGUUAACAUGGUAAUCCGGCACCAGGAGAGAAAGCUGCUUUCUGCUGCCCAGAGCCCAUUCCCCAUCACACAUCAGAUGACUCCCUGGCUUUACACACAGUUGGAGUUCUGCUCGAAACGUGGAUUUAAAGGGAAUCUGUUGCUGCGUAUGACAUCUCUUGCAAGCUCCCAGAGAGAAUUGAUGGCGCAUACAGCUAGGGAAUAGGAUACCAGAGAAGCACAGAGGAAGAAUCCAGGCAAUCACCAGGAUGGGAAGGUUCAGCGUCCACUGGAUAUGGGACAAGAUCGCUUGGCAACCCUUGUGGAUUCUCCUUCUUCUGGAGGCGAAUUAUAGUUAUGGAUUUAUUGUCCCGGUGCAGCACUUCCACCACCAGUAGCAACAGCAGCAGCUUUCUGACUCUCUUCGGUGACGGGUAUUCUUGGGUGGAUAAUACGGAUUACGUUGUUAUUGCUUAAGAAUACGCGUAGUCGAGGAGAGUACCGGCGGCGGGCAGGCAGGCAGGCAGCGCGACCGCCCCCAGCCCACCAGCUGGCUCCUCACCUCCUCUAGUUGCCAAGAUGUUUGCUCUGCCAGAUUUGAACACAGGAAUGUGAGGCCAGUGGGCUGAGCCUCAUGAAGCGGAGAAGAGAAGCAUUUAGCCUGGAAUUUAUAUCUUCCAUCAUUUCCAAGGGUGAGGCAGAAAACUGGUUUCUCCCUGGGAGAAGUCAACCAAAGAGGAACUGUGCCUUCAAGGAGGUGGGACAGUGUGAAUGCCAUUGGUCUUUGUCAUUAAUCAGCUCUCUUCAAGCUCGAUGAGGGGCUGACAGGAUCUGUCGAUUAAAUCUCAUGCCUUCAAAAGACAGGAACAAAAUCACCACUGUAAUGUUUGGCAAAGCAAAAUGUUUUUGUUUGCUGGCAAGGGUUUAACUCACGUGCAGCCCUGCUGCCCUCUUAGGAUGUCAAAGAAAGAGGCUUUGCAAGUCAAAUGCUGCCUGCCUUACCAGCCUGUCUUACCCCAGUGAUGAAGUGCUCCAGCAUCAGAAGUCACCUUCUGUGUUCAGCUGAGCUCAACUGGAACCGUGCUCUCUGGCUGUGCUGUUAAGUGGCUCUGAAGAUGUUACAGGUGCAGAGCUGUGCUGCUGUGUUUCAAGUGAUCAUAAAAACUCACGGGAUAAAUUGAAAAAGUGUGACUUUUCAUUGUAGCAAGCUUGGACUGGAUAAGCAACUCCAUCAUUGUGCUAAGGCAGCAGAUGCAGUCAGUGUUUGGAGGAAAUGGUUCAUGACCUGAUUAUACUUUCCAAGAGCUUCAAUGAGGAAAAAAAAGAUGCUGGAGGCUUCUCAUGUCAGAAUAACACUGGUGGGACAGGCAAGGGAAGCAGAAGGAUCAGACAGUGGGAGAGAAUGAACAGAAAGGUGCAAUGCAAGCAGAAAACCCCUUUGCCAUGCUUCAAGCUUACUGUUACACUCAAAGAUGUGGGACAAAAAGCAAGAGCUUCAGGAAAAGCCCUUUCCUGAGGACCAGCAGAGCAUGCCAGGAGGGUGCUGCAGCCAUUGUCUCUGCAGCUAAAAUGAAGAGCAAAGCCACAAUCUGAUGGGGUUGGGCUGCAGCAGAUUCAAGAUCUGGAUCACCCUGAGAGUUGGGUCUGAUGGGUCUCCAGAACCAAGGAAGGCCCUCAGGCAUUCUCUCCAGAUGGGGAUUCACAACCAGCUGGGAUAGGGUGCUACUGGAUGCUGGGAUGGACUCGCCCCAGAAGCAUCACAUCACAGCUGCUCCUUAGCCAAGCACGCGUGGAUGGGCUGUCAGGAGAGCGUUUCGGUCGGUGAGCAGCUUGCCCUGGGAAUGUGUGGUGCUGGUCCUGAGUGUGAGCCGUGACCUGUGCAGGGCCCAGGGCAGAGGGCCAGGAUGCUGCCCAGGGACUUGACCCUGAAGAAGGGCAGCUCUGAGUCUCAGCAAAAGCCAAGCUGGUCUUGCAUAAAUUCUCUGGUGGUUUAGGCCGGCCAAAUUAAACAUGUCCCGUACCUUGUCUUUGUCACAGCUUUGACAGAAGUCCCAGCUGUGGCUCAGAGCUGCCCCUGUUCAGGGCACUUGCUGGGGCAGGAAAGGGCAGACAUGGAGCCUGCCACUGUCAGGGCUUGGCCAUCAUGCUCCCACUGAGGUGACUCACUGAGGAGCCCUUGGGCAGCAGGUGGACACAGCCUCUGUUCCCUGCUGACCCAAUCCAUGCAGCUGUGCUGGAGCCAUGGCUACUCCCUGGAAGGAGAGAGGUAUCAGAGAGGGGAAGAGUGUGGACUGGGAGAAGGGAGAAGGUGAUAAACCAGCUCUUCAAGGCAGGGGUGAGGUUGAAUGCUGUGGUGAGCUGCUCUACCUGACAGGACUUGUCCUGCCAAGGGUAGGUCAUCUUUCCUUUGACUCAAGAGGGUGUUGGGGGGUGCUUGCUAGGCCCAGAAACCAGUCAGUGCUUCACUGGGUCUUUACAUGGUCAGUUGUGGUAUGUUCUGCUGCCCUGUGAUCUGCAAUUUCUAUUUUAUUAUUUAGGUGAGCUCUGGCUCUUGCUGUCUCAGGGGAAUUUCACCUAAGUAAAUGCUGGGAAAAUUUCUCUUUAUUCAAAUCAUAAGCACAAACACCUUUGACAUAAUUUUUCACUGUAGUACUUUGUAUAGGUUCUUUUUAAAGAAGUUAAUAAAGCUGGCAGCACAACUCCAUUGACUCUCAGCAGAACACCUCUCUCAUUCCUGAGGUCCCUUUCAUAACCAGUUAUAUUAGCACCAUUUGUUAGCAUCCUGCUUUUCUCUUCAGUAUUGCCACGCAAUGUGCCUUCUUUUGUAGUACCUAAAGCUUGUGAGAUAACUCAGUUUGCCUCCCAGUGGGGGAGAAGGUAUCUGUAAUCUGUGUUUUGUGUCUCGGGUAUCUUGAAAGGACGAGAAAUCCCAAAUGCAGUAACUUGUGGGUUUUCUGUCUUAGAGAAUUAGGAUGUCUUUGCAUUACUGAGCAGGCAAACAGUGAGCAGUACUUGAUCAAUAAGAGGCAUUGCCAGAGGUCUGCUAUAGUCUACCACAGCUGACGGUAAGUGUUGCUAUAGGCUAUGGAACUAGGAAUAUAAAAUGUCAAAUGACAGUAAUAAUUCAUGCAUCCUGGGACAUAUAAAACCAACAGCAUGUCAAUAGCUGUGGCAUACUCUGCAGAAAAUAUGCAGGAUUUAGACAUUGCAGGAGUCUGUUUUAUUUUAAACUACACUUUCCUUGAUGAAAUAUAGACUUUCCCUGUUUGUUAAAAGCAUUUAUUUUCAGUUUCAUGUUGCUACUACUCUAUUAACAUUCUAAGAGCCACACAGCUCAAAGGGGGCCCUGAGAUUCAAAAAGCAAAAUAUAUGUAUUUACUGAAGAAAAACACAUAAAAUAUUUAUAAAACAGAGGGUGCAAUACUAUUUGAGAUUCAUGGACCAUUUCAGCAUACAUAAAAGCAAAUAUGGUUCUCUUGUUGGUUUCACCUGGAAUCAGACUUUACUAGAGAGGUUGCCCAGGAGGGACCUGUCUUAAAAUGAAACUUAUUACAAUCAUUAAUUUUACAUGGAAAAUCAUUAAAUUUUACAUGGAAAGCAGAAUGUCUUGUGAAAUAAGUGAGAACUUCUCCAAUAUUCAUCUUCUUUAAAAAUACUUCAGGAUAAUUAGUAUCACUUUUCUUUUACAAAAAUAUAUGAGAGGGUGAAUUACUGCAUCUGGGAGGGCAUAGCAGGCAUAAGAGGAAAGAUUGUGUGUAUCUGAUACUUGUUUUCCCCUGUGCCCCUGCUGCUUGGGAACCUAAAAGUGAUGGGUGCUGUUUUACUGGCUAAGGCUCCCACAAAAAUUCUUCAGAUGAAACUUUAACGAGAGAAGGGUAAAAAUGUAUUUGAGCAGCCCCAUUCUUAUGCUUUCAGGUGUUUGCUCCUGAGCACCUCAGCUGUGGGUUGUCAAGCCUCAAUUUCUGUACAUUUGCUUGAAAGUAGAAGGGCAAGACAGAAAAGUUGCAUGUCCCUCAUGAUUAUAUGAAUAUAGGGCUUAAUAUACCGGUAAUACUUCUAAAAGAAUGUAAAAUAUUAACUGAAAAAAGAGAAAAGGAAAAGCAUCACACAAAGAAAUCCACUACGCAUUAUUUAGAUCUCCCCCUGCGAGAGGCUGAGGAUUCAAACACGUAUGAGUCGUCUGCUCUUCCAUGUGAUAGCAGCCCUUCUGCUUCAGCGUUGCACAGUCCUAGCUCUCAGUUGUCUACUUGAGAAUUUUUUUUAAGUUAUAUAUUCAAAAAAAAAGAUCUUAAAUAUAAUUUCCAUUAUUUGAAGACCAUAAAGUGAUUUUGGUGCAGUGGACUGUACCUAUAUAGACAGGCACUAAUAGAUAUUUUGGCACAUCUUGCUGAAGCUAGCUUGAGAUGGAGAUUAUUAAAAUAAAUAAAAAGCAAAAUUAAUCCUCCUAAAUGUCUGAGACCUAAGAAAAGGGAUGUCUUUGUUCUGACGAGAACAUCUUGGCUCGUUCUGCUCCUUUGGCUUGGUUUGGGGAGGAUGUAUUUAACAGUCCUCCCAUGGUACUUGGCAAAUAUAAAGCUGUCACAUUGGAUCCUGCUUCUCUUUGUAUUAAAAGAAUGUCUAUGGUGUUUAUGUUAUGGGAAAAAAGCGCUAUUUCUACUUAUUGUAUUUUCAUUGUCUCUUUUCUUAUGACUGUACUGUUUGCCAGCAGCCAAGGGGCCACUUUGAUGCUUGCUUUGAUGCCAUGGUUUAUUGUGUUGCACAGUUGAGCCUAUGGUUUUCCUUUCAAAUCAGAGCUGGCAUACUGGGUGGAAAAAAAAAAAAAACCAAACCAAAAAUAAAGCUUUUCUAUAAUUAUGGUUAUCUCAUAAAGUCUGCAUUUGUUACAGCUGCUGGGGUGUUGGAAAUCAGUGUUUGUAAAUACCUAUAUAUUCUGAUUUGUUUUCAGCCUCAGAGAUGUUUUUGUCUGUCUGUGUUCCUCACCCCUGGCCAUUCAUGCAAGCAGCCUUCCCUACCUGCACGCCGAGCUGCACUGCCUCGGGAAGAUACCAGCCUGUUACCCAGCUUAUCUGCAUGGUACUGCUUCACCUUGUUCCCUCUUCUCACUCUGAGGGAUUAGCAUCCAAAGAAAAACAAAUUAGUCUUGUAUCAAUUCACCCAGGAAAGCGAGUAGCUAAACCGACCAGAAGGUUCCUGCUGGCAGAACUGAGUGCAGAAGGAGGCUGGCAGGGUGUGUUCUUUGAGUGCUGCCCAGCUCCACCACGCUCUCUCAGAGGCCCACAGGGACACCAUGGGUCCUGCUAUGGGGAUCCAGACUCUCCUGUACCCACAGGAAGCCUCACUUGCUGGCUCCGUGCUCCACGUGGCAGUGCCAGUUAGGAUGUGUGUAAUACCUGCUUGGAUGUGUCUGUUGCUUUUCUCCAUAUGUCUUGUGGUCAUCUGAGAGCUGAUGAGGAACCAUUCUGUUUCCAUUCUGCUGAUGGAAAAGGAGAGGCUUUGAGAGGCUGAGUGAUUUGUCCAGGAUUAUGCAGCAGAUCAAUGGGAGAAAAGGGGAUCAGGCCAUUCCACACAGGAGUGCCUUUAGCUGUCCCAUGGGCUUUCUAGGGAAAGGCAUGCAGGUCCCCAAAGGGGCCGCCUCCAGCAGUGUUCCUCCAUUAUUUCUAUCAGAUUAUUGCUGUGAACAGUGGAGAAAUGCAAAAUGUAUUAUUCAUUUCUCCUACUUCUAAAAUCAAUAGCUAUCAAAAUACAAAUACAAUUUAAAUCAAAAGGCACUUAUUGAGUGCAGAUCCUACUAAUUAGGUAUGAUUUCCUAACAAUUUCUUAAAUUAUUUAUCCAAGGGAUGGGUGGAAAGCACUUUAUAUGUCCCAAAGUGAAUAUUAUAAACCUCUUGUGAUGAUACAGAAAAUGUGAAAUGUAGUGCAAUGCAGUGUGAUUUGUAACCUUGAUGAACUAAUGUAAUAUCAAUAGACAUCAAUCUGU
RNAcentral lists this long non-coding RNA (6037 nucleotides) under Taeniopygia guttata (zebra finch). RNAcentral describes it as "lncRNA (ENSTGUG00000018843.1)". The stretch from base 484 to 554 matches the Rfam family "mir-137 microRNA precursor family". Lineage: Eukaryota; Metazoa; Chordata; Aves; Passeriformes; Estrildidae. The record is from RNAcentral.